CGGACGGGUGAGUAACGCGUGAGGAACCUGCCUCAAAGAGGGGGACAACAGUUGGAAACGACUGCUAAUACCGCAUAAGCCCACGGCUCGGCAUCGAGCAGAGGGAAAAGGAGUGAUCCGCUUUGAGAUGGCCUCGCGUCCGAUUAGCUAGUUGGUGAGGUAACGGCCCACCAAGGCGACGAUCGGUAGCCGGACUGAGAGGUUGAACGGCCACAUUGGGACUGAGACACGGCCCAG
This 237-nucleotide ribosomal RNA is filed under the name uncultured bacterium. RNAcentral describes it as "partial 16S ribosomal RNA". It matches the Rfam family "Bacterial small subunit ribosomal RNA", at positions 99 to 334 of the family's 1533-position model. The record is from RNAcentral.